Molecule: ribosomal RNA, 490 nt
Filed under: uncultured bacterium
Lineage: Bacteria
Description: partial 16S ribosomal RNA
Rfam family: Bacterial small subunit ribosomal RNA
Source: RNAcentral
AUUGAACGCUGGCGGCAUGCUUUACACAUGCAAGUCGAACGGCAGCGGGGUAGUGCUUGCACUACUGCCGGCGAGUGGCGCACGUGUGAGUCAUAUAUCGGAACGUACCGAGUAAUGGGGGAUAACCAAUCGAAAGAUUGGCUAAUACCGCAUACGUCCUGAGGGACAAAGCGCAGGAUCGCAAGACCUCGCGUCAUUCGAGUGUCCGGUAACUCAUUAGCUAGUUGGUGGGGUAAAGGCCUACCAAGGCCACGAUCAGUAGCGGGUCUGAGAGGACGAUCCGCCACACUGGAACUGAGACACGGCCCAGACUCCUACGGGAGGCAGCAGUAGGGAAUUUUGGGCAAUGGGGGCAACCCUGAUCCAGCCAUGCCGCGUGUAUGAAGAAGGCCUUCGGGUUGUAAAGUACUUUUGUUAGGGAAGAAAAGGGAAGUGCUAAUACCACUAUUUGCUGACGGUACCUAAAGAAUAAGCACCGGCUAACUACGUG